RNAcentral lists this transfer RNA (72 nucleotides) under Ailuropoda melanoleuca (giant panda). It matches the Rfam family "tRNA". From Rfam's summary of the family: Transfer RNA (tRNA) molecules are approximately 80 nucleotides in length. Lineage: Eukaryota; Metazoa; Chordata; Mammalia; Carnivora; Ursidae. The record is from Rfam by way of RNAcentral.
GCCUGGCUGGCUCAUUUGGUAGAGCAUGUGACUCUUAAUCUUGGGACGUGAGUUCAAACCCCACACUGGGCA